AUUGAACGCUGGCGGCAGGCCUAACACAUGCAAGUCGAGCGGUAGAGAGGAGCUUGGCUUCUCUUGAGAGCGGCGGACGGGUGAGUAAUGCCUAGGAAUCUGCCUGGUAGUGGGGGAUAACGUUCGGAAACGGACGCUAAUACCGCAUACGUCCUACGGGAGAAAGUGGGGGAUCUUCGGACCUCACGCUAUCAGAUGAGCCUAGGUCGGAUUAGCUAGUUGGUGAGGUAAAGGCUCACCAAGGCGACGACGGGUAGCCGGCCUGAGAGGGUGACCGGCCACACUGGGACUGAGACACGGCCCAGACUCCUACGGGAGGCAGCAGUGGGGAAUAUUGCACAAUGGGCGCAAGCCUGAUGCAGCAACGCCGCGUGAGGGACGACGGCCUUCGGGUUGUAAACCUCUUUUAGUAGGGAAGAAGCGAAAGUGACGGUACCUGCAGAAAAAGCACCGGCUAACUACGUG
This 465-nucleotide ribosomal RNA is filed under the name uncultured bacterium. RNAcentral's name for it is "bacterial SSU rRNA". It matches the Rfam family "Bacterial small subunit ribosomal RNA", at positions 29 to 507 of the family's 1533-position model. The record is from RNAcentral.